AUUGAACGCUGGCGGCAGGCUUAACACAUGCAAGUCGAACGGUAACAUAAAGAAGCUUGCUUCUUUGAUGACGAGUGGCGGACGGGUGAGUAAUGCUUGGGAACCUAGCUUAUGGAGGGGGAUAACUACGGGAAACUGUAGCUAAUACCGCGUAAUGUCGAAAGAUUAAAGUGUGGGACCUUCGGGCCACAUGCCAUAGGAUGAGCCCAAGUGGGAUUAGGUAGUUGGUGAGGUAAAGGCUCACCAAGCCGACGAUCUCUAGCUGGUCUGAGAGGAUGACCAGCCACACUGGGACUGAGACACGGCCCAGACUCCUACGGGAGGCAGCAGUGGGGAAUAUUGCGCAAUGGGGGCAACCCUGACGCAGCCAUGCCGCGUGAAUGAAGAAGGCCUUCGGGUUGUAAAGUUCUUUCGGUAGCGAGGAAGGCAUUUAGUUUAAUAGACUAGGUGAUUGACGUUAACUACAGAAGAAGCACCGGCUAACUCCGUGCCAGCCGCCGCCGUAA
Molecule: ribosomal RNA, 506 nt
Filed under: uncultured bacterium
Lineage: Bacteria
Description: partial 16S ribosomal RNA
Rfam family: Bacterial small subunit ribosomal RNA
Source: RNAcentral